This 259-nucleotide ribosomal RNA is filed under the name uncultured prokaryote. RNAcentral describes it as "partial 16S ribosomal RNA". It matches the Rfam family "Bacterial small subunit ribosomal RNA", at positions 526 to 784 of the family's 1533-position model. The record is from RNAcentral.
CGUAGGUGGCAAGCGUUAUCCGGAAUUAUUGGGCGUAAAGAGCGCGCAGGUGGUUGAUUAAGUCUGAUGUGAAAGCCCACGGCUUAACCGUGGAGGGUCAUUGGAAACUGGUCGACUUGAGUGCAGAAGAGGGAAGUAGAAUUCCAUGUGUAGCGGUGAAAUGCGUAGAGAUAUGGAGGAACACCAGUGGCGAAGGCGGCUUCCUGGUCUGUAACUGACACUGAGGCGCGAAAGCGUGGGGAGCAAACAGGAUUAGAUA